UGAGAUAUUAGUAAAUAAUUACAUGACUUUGUCAAGGUCAAAUAACAGAGCUAUCUGUAUAUCUUAU
Molecule: transfer RNA, 67 nt
Filed under: Wiedomys cerradensis (cerrado red-nosed mouse)
Lineage: Eukaryota; Metazoa; Chordata; Mammalia; Rodentia; Cricetidae
Description: tRNA-Asp
Source: RNAcentral